Molecule: long non-coding RNA, 11238 nt
Organism: Pipra filicauda (Wire-tailed manakin)
Lineage: Eukaryota; Metazoa; Chordata; Aves; Passeriformes; Pipridae
Exons: 3
Source: RefSeq, a predicted model, not a curated record
CGCCCCUCCUGCCCGCGGGGGGCACGGGGCGCGCCGGCGGCGGGGCGAGGCGAGAGACCCCCGGCGGGCGGGCGAAUGGGCAGGACGGGACAGGACAGAUAAAUGUUUUUCACUGCCUGGCCAACUGUUGUAUCUGCAGUCUCCUGUGGACAGAUCGAUCAGGACAGCUGUCCUUAGGAGUUUCACCAAACUCCACCAAACAGCAUUUGCAUCUCAUCCUGGCCUGAGAAGAUGUAUUACCGACACAGCUGUGAGGAAUCCCUUUUCCUCUGUUCAGAGAGAGUCUGGUUUCAUCUUAAUCCCCUUCUCUCUCUCACCCACCCACCCAAUCUAAAUCUGUUCCUCAGUGAAGCUGCUUUUUGCACUGUGAGUGAUCUCUGCUGAAAUGAAGAUUUCAGAGGUGUCAUUGGGAACCAUGUCUAUCUUCCCAUGAAAAGGCUCUGAAAAAUGAAUGUUCGCCGCCUUCUGCUUCUCUGAUGCUUUUUAAAAUCCUUAUGUAAUAUCGUGUGACCAACUACUAUCCCAGAAAGACAUGGAGAAACUUCCUACAUGCUUCUUGCAAGAUGUGUCUUCAGCUGUGGAAAAUAUACAGAGGCCUAUGAAGUUCAUGAGUAGGAGAUGUUUACAAAAAUAGUAUCUAUAUCAGAUCUAUAGAGGCAGAAGUCAUCCUCCGGGGACUGUAGCUCCAAUAUGCUUCUCUUCUGGCCUCCUUCCACUGGCAGUUUGGAUUCCCCAGCAAAAGCUACUUCUGGCAGAGAUCUCAGUAAUUGCUUCAUAGAAGUAAUGGAUAGAUGCCAUAAGAGUUAAUUCUACAUCAAGCUGUAUUAGCUACUGAUAGGAUUUUCAUGUGGACCAAAAAGGAAAUGAGAUAGCAAAAUGACUCAUAUAGUUGUUCAGAGCUCCUUUGGUGCAAGAGACAAACAGAAAGGCUUUUUAUGAGGUUUAAAGAAUGAAAAAAGCAGUGUCAAUGUAGUUCAGAUCCUGAAAGUGGUGCAACUUACCUGACAUAAGUGAAAGGCUGGGUCCUUUCAAGCUGGGAAAAUAUUUGAGGCUGUGUGAGUCAACUGAAGAUUAGAAGGGACAACAGAUGGAGAAAGGUAGGAUAUGUUUGCAUUGCAUAUUGUGAUAUAAGCUCAUGCUUACCUACACUCACAUCUGAGCAAACGCGAUCUUUUUCCGCCUGCACCCACAGCUCAUAACUUCUAGGAGAGCAUAUUAGUUCAGUGCUGAGAUAGAACUAAUCAAUACAAAUAAUCAGUACCUCAAUAGUGUAUUUAUCAAAAAAUCCUCCUGGGUAUUUUGUCCUAUAUUGCUGAAGAGAGGUAAUAGUGAGUGCCAAAACAUUAUUUUCCUCUCUCCUUGCGUGGUGAGUUCUCGAAUUGGCCUGUGCUGCCGAAGCAGAAACAUGUGCUUUGUAUAUCCUGGCAUGAUCUAUUGGAAACUGAACAUUGACAGAGCGUCCCAAAUUAAGGACAGUCUUACUCAGAGGAAUUCAAUACUUUGAUGUUAGCCAGAUACCUUAAAAACACACUCAUUUCAAUGCAAGUUGAGAUUCUUAAAAAAUGUAUUUCUGAAACAAAUUUUAAGAAUUUCUGCAGUGGAGAGGUAUGUCAUCCCCAAACAUAAAGUGCAGGCAAACAGUGGGCUAGCUGUAAUGUAACAAUAGACAGGACUCACAUGCGUACUUUGCUGCAAGAUCCCUGUUAUGUGACCUCGCUUAAUUUGGUGGUAUGUUAUUAAAAUGUAAUCAACUUUCUGUAUAACACAUGGGUUUGACAUAUUGGUACACAAAUAAAUGUUCAAUACUCAGUGUUCGCCGUUCUUUUCUCAUCUUGAUACUUGCCUUCCAUUAGUUUUUCUUAGGAAUUUGUAGCUUCAGAGUUUUUCAGAACAUUGCUGUUUUGUAGGUUUUUACCAAGUGUAAUAUUCACUCAGAGUCUUCAUCCAUGUUUUGAUUUUUAUCCAGAGUCAUGCAGAAGUGUCGUGCUCUGUUUUGUAUAUAUUAAGAUCUCAUUUUCAUACAAUUCCCAUUUCAUGACUUUACAGAAAAUACAGAAAAGGAAUUUACCAUCUGGGACUGUGGUGGUGCAGCUUGCUCUGUUAGCAUUUCACUGAUACCUUUGUAGCACACUGACCUACUGCAUGUGAGCAUGCAUCAUCUUCCAUUUGAGCAUGGAGAACCAUUGCUCUCUGGAACUGCAGCUCAGCAUCAAAGAAUUAGCAAGUCUGCUUCAUCUGUCACAAACUUCACCCACUCAGCAACACCAUUCUGGCAAGUGUCUUUCAUGAAUCUAUUCUGCAUCCUCAUAUGUCCUUACCUUGUGUCUAAACCAGCUAAAUGCCUGCUACACACAGAAUGAGACUGAAAGUAUUCCGGGCCUGUUCUCUCAAAUUCCAGUUUUUUCCACCAUGGCCUGGGGCUUUUCCAGCAGCAAGUGAAGUGGGAAGAUAAGUGAUUUCAGAUAAGGCACUCCUUCCCACUCCCUCCCUGCCAGGAAGGGCUCAGCAGAUGCUAACAAAUGAGGAGGAAAAAAGAAAGGAAAUUCCAGAAGUGUUAAAAAAAAGGGAAUUUGUUGAACCUCUGGCAGUCACAUUGAGAAUGUCAAGGUUCCUCACCAUCAGGUAGGUAGUGCCAAGAGGGAAGGUCAGAGGAGGUGGCUUUGGAGGGUCAAAAAGGCUACUUGAUAUGCAUUAGAGAAACAGACACCACCCAUGACAUAAAUGUGAGGUGUAUAUUAGAGUGCAGACAUCUUUGAUGCAGUCUGAGUCUUAUUUUGCCUUUUUUAAAACAUUUACUUAAUUCUCUACUGAAUGUCUCAUUUCCCAACAGUGAAAUAUACAGCAGCUACUUCUGCUAAAUGUCAGUUGAAUCUAUACUAGUGGUGUUGCUCAAACUGCAUUUUUAAAAAUAAUCUGCAAGCAGUUAAUGUGCUUUUUAAAUUCUCAGUGUUAUGUAAAAAGGCACAAUAUUUUUAGCCUUACAAAAUAUCAGUUGUCAUCUCCUCACUUUCUCCCUUUGAUAUAUUGGAGAUGGGGGACUAGAAGCUCAGAGAAACUGUGGAUACUCACAGUUUUAAAAAUACAUUGUUGUUUGUUUUUUUUUUUUCCUGCAAUGUGCUUCUGGAGUUUUACAGAUCUUAAUAAAAAGAUACAAAAAUACCCUAAACCUUAAAAGCAAGUCUGAACAAAGAAAGUACUUAUUGUAAAAGCUAGAGAUUCUGUCCUCACUGCCAAAUUCUUAAGUCUGGAAUAGUGACAGUAUAAUGUAUCCUGGAGCAAAAUAUUAACUUAAACUGUUCGCUCAUGCGCUGACAGAAUGGCCCUCACAUUUUAAAAAAUCUCCAGAAAUUGCUCUCUAACAUAGAGAACACAGCUGUUGUGAGUAGGCUCUGGCAAAUCAACAUUGACUCAAACUAUUUUUGGAAUCAAGUCAGGCCUGCUGCUGUUUCUGGAAGAUGUGAAUACAUCUACCUGCUCUGCUCUGCUGUGCUGCAGUCCAUAAGGAAUAUGGUGGGUUCCAGAAUGUUUCCCUCUGUGCUUAUUUGGAGGUGACCUUUCCGUUCCCAUCUGUUUACAAGUCUUCUGAGGUCUAAUGUCUUUCCCUGCUGACAACCACCUUAAUAAGAACAUUUGGACCUUGCUUCUUUCUGUAUUCUCUACUGAAAUUUGAGGAACAGGAUCUCAGAAGAGUCUUGCUGCCUUUUCUUCUUACUGUCUUGCAACACUUGACAUCCUGAUGGUACCUUCUGAGUAGGAGGCAUGCCCUAUCAGAAGCAGCCCAGCAAAGAAGAGCAUCCUGACCUCAAACCUGUUGUGAUCAUAGCUGAUCCUUGAAAGAAAUCCACCAAUGCAAUUCAAGAGGUGGCUACUGGAAAAAUAAUGUUUAUUGUUGCACCACACACUCUGUGGAGAUACUAUGUAUCAAUACUGGACUUAAGCAAAGGCUGUUAGCUUUUAUCUGCUCUCACAGAAGGUUUGCUCUUCAGUUCUUUCUACCUUCCCAAAAUUGUUUUUAAUCUGCAGUAGGUAAGAGAACAUUUAUCAUACUUUCAUAUUUACUACUUCUUCCUCAGUUUACUGUCAGCUGGGAGAAAGAGUUGAAACUAUUGUAGAUGAGGAGAGUUCUGGUCUUGUGGUCCCUCAAGUCACAUAAAUAAUUGCUAUGUUUAGGAGAGUGGCACCAUGUAACUUGAAAUUCCAUUCCUUGCUUGGAGGUGCAGGGAUUUGGAGAAUAACAAUUUUCGAGUCAAAAGCAAACACAAAUGGAGACUCUAGGACUCUGGUAUAAUCUGGUAAGACAGCAAAGCAGGAUGCAGCAUCAGUGUAGGCUGAAAGACUAAAUGAAUUCUGAGUCUAAUGAGGGAGUCAUUCCAGCCGAAAACCAAGCCAGGGGCCUGAGAAUAUGCAACAUUAAAGAGUAAAAAAGUCUACAAUUUAGUGUCCCUCUAAUUUUAACUGCAAGCUAAGGUCAUUAAGCUGAAUUUAGGUUUUUGGCACCAAAAGGCUGAUAUCUGUCUCUGAUGUCUGGCAGUGAUAGCAUCUGAGGAGUCAGAGACAAUGAACAGCAUCAACCAGACCAGACCUUCAUCCAUAUUCUUCACAGAUGAACUGUACCCUCUACCCUUUCCUGUCCCAUUCCUCAAGAAAACUUAUUGCAGUAUGUAGUCUAGCCCUGUGGAAUGCCUCCUUUUGAAAUCUAAGAGGGAAUGGAUACAGGUAGUAUCCCAUAUGUACAUUUAAAUGUGGACCUCUAUGCAGAUUUCCUCUGUUUUGGAUCAGGACAAAAUGGGAGCAAUUUUACUGCAUUGGAGAAAUGCAGGCUGUCCAGUGUGUCCCAAAGCAAGUGGACUAUUGGAACUAAGGCGGCUCCCUCCCUGUCAGGUUAUUUCAUCUGAGGUUGCACUGCUUGCCUGUACAUUGAUUGGAUGUAAUGUGUGGCUCUUGCAAUGUCUCAAAUCUGCCAAGCUGUUACACUAAUCCAGGUUAUUUUCUAGUUUACUCCAAAAACAUUUUCAAACAAAUAUUCCUUUUUUAUCAAAUCUCAUUUUUGUUUUAUAUUCUUAAAAUAGAAGCUUGAUGACCACCUUGGGAUGAUAUAGUUUUGGAAAGCAUGGCAAUAAAUGCCAAAUAAACAGGAAAUAAAAGGAUUAUUGGUGGUAAGACCCAGCAGUCCUUUUCAUGGCAUUGAACACUACAUACCGAGGCAUUGGUAAGAAAGCUGUUGGUGGGAGGCCCAGGAAAAGCAACACUGAUCUGGAGAAAUAGCUUUGUAAAUAUCCCAUUCAUUUCUUUUGGCAACUAACACUGUCUCUGAAACCAUCAGUCAUUCUGCAGAAAAUGGUUUUAUAGGGCUUUCCUUAUAACCUGAGCCUAUUUUCAUUAGCAACCUGAUGAGAUUCUGCUGGCUUAGUUUCCAAACAUCUUUCACUACCUGCUGCUCCCAACUUUUAGCCAGCACUGUCACAGGCAUUACCUGGGCCUCAAGAAUCCCAAGGAAGAAGUAUAUUUGCAUAUGAAGCCUGAACACAGAUGACCUUCAGGCAGACUGCAGCUGGCCAAAUGCAUAUCUAAAGUGGUUUAUAUGGAAACUGAAUGCUCUGGAUAAGGUUAAAGGUUCCAAAUGACUUCUUUCAUAAGCCAUGGAAGCAAAGGGGCGGGAAGUUUGCCAAGUACCUCGGAGACAUGGUCAUCAUAUUGACCUUCAUCAAGGCAACUGAAGAAUGCCUUGGAAAUGCAUCUCCAGAAAUGUACAUCCAAGCUGAGUUUUUUAAUCACAGAAUCUUAGAAUCAUUAUGGCGGGGAAAGACCUCUAAGAUAAUGUUAUGUCCUGAGCCUUUGCCCAGGCAUCUGCAACUGACAGGCAGGGAUGGUUCACAGUUAUGGGAGGAAAAGCACUUUGCAUUGGUACAAAGUGGUGGGAGUCAACUGAUCCAGAAUUUAGGCUAUGUCUCUGUCAUGCCAGCACACCUCUGGAGAACCCAAUGUGCAAAUAGUCAUUGACUUGGUAAUACAGAGUGGAACGCUUUUGAGGACCUCUCCUGCAUUUUGAACAAUAGCUGUGGCUACUUAUGCUCUCAGUGUCACUUAGACUAGCUACAAAAGCUGGCAAUGGUGGCCUAUAAUUGCUACUACCCUAUCCUGAACAGUCAGUGCUUGAUCACUUUGCUGCAUACAGAAUGAACUUAGCACAGAUCUUCAGUAAGACCUGUCACACCCUUAUAUUUUCAACCUACUGAAAAUCAUACUCUGCUUGAAAACCAGCUCUCUCCUGUAAAUUGUCACUUGUCACAGACUCCUAGCUGCCACUGAAAGGACAGUGGCUCCACUGCAAGUCCCUGCUAAUUAUCUUGACAAUCCCAUGAAACAAAGAUUUUUGUCUGGUCUGUAGUUAUCCUUUUAUUCAUACUGUCAGUAAAUUAACUAGCAGAGGUAGUAGUAGCCACAGGUACUAAGCCUAGGAACUGCAGGAAACUUCAUAUAGCCCCACACCUUUUGCUUUUGGAAAGCAAGGAAAGCUGUACUCAAAUGGUGGUUUACUGUGCAGCUUGUGGGUAACAUUUGGCCUGGGGUUUUUUCUUUUUAAUUUUUCCCUUUUUUUUUUUUUUUGCAAGCAGACUGUUGGACCAUAUGCCUGUAUUGUCUAUUUGGUUGGUUUGUUGCUUUGCUCCAGGCCUUGGUUCCGUGAUCAUCUAUACUGUGUACAUACUAGGUUUUGCCAGGACUCUAAUCUGGAGUUAACCAAUUAUUUGGUUUUACGAGAGGGUAGUUUGCUUCAGGAUCCACACCCUAUAGAUAAUGCAGGUGGGGACUAUACCAGGCUUCAUUCUUACUGACCAGAGCAAUCUGCUUGUGCAUGCCUAAUGUACUCACAGGUCCAGCAUGCCCUGACAUAUGCAUGGCACCUCUUCGUAGGCAUCACAGCAUUAGCAGUCUCCAAAGGCUGUCUCUGCUUAUCUGGCUAUCCCAGUUCUUCUGCAGGAAAAUAAUAGCACUGGGAUAGAAAGGGGCCAUCUGUGGACUGGACUGAUUAGGAUCCUGUCCCAAGUUAAUGUUAUUGAGACUGUAGCUUGGCAUCUCUGUCCCUCCAGUACCAAGCAGAUGCACCAGAUCAUUCCCUGGGAAGCCACUACACAACUUCUAUUGUAUGACAUAGGAGGACACUCAGUAUGAUAUCAAGAGAGUUGAGAACCUGCUUUUGCCUCUCAGCUUUGUCACAGGGAGGAUGCAGGGAAAGAACCCUUUUCCCAGGAUGUGGCACCCUCCCCCCGACACAUAUACUGGAAUUAUUUCUGGGACUUUUUUUCAAAAUCCCCUAGGAUGCAACACAGUGAGCACCCAGGAGUACCUGUGUCUAUUGAUUACACUCAUUUGUAGGAAGGAGCAUGGCCUGUUUGUGCCAUGCUUACAAGACUACAUAAUGGAGUGAAGAAAGGAGACUUCUGCACGAGAGCAUGGCACUCGGGUGGAAAGAGGCUUGCACUACACACAGGAACUCUUAAAUUAGCAGGCUGACAGAUGUGUUUCUUUGAUAGUCACUUCUGACAAGCAGUAAUAUUUGCCAUAGAACAUCCAAAUAUGUCACCGCUUGUCUUGCUGGUGGCAAUGGGUGGGGCACACAGUUGAGGAAAUGGUAAGGGUGCCUUGGAAUGUGGAAAUGGCAGCUUUCCGAGCAGAAUGGGCUCUGGCGGCCGUCUAUACUCAACCACACACAUGGGCAUGCCCCAGGAGCUAUCUCGUAGUUUUCCAGAGUUGCAGGACAGGUCGUAUAGCACCUGAGGGAAGAGAUAUCCACUGGGACAGCCUGCUUGCAUCCCUCAUUCCUCGGGCACAGAGCCCAGCAGCAGUGAGCAGUAGGUGUGGGAGCGCCGUGUGAGGGGAAGCCUGUCAGUGAGCAAGCCCCAGGAGCCAUGGAAUUGCAGGCCUGCUGCCAUGCUGAGAAGCAGAUAGAGGCAGCAGCUUGGCAGGAAAUUUUGGUGGAAGGAGAUAAGGAAACAGCAGUGGCGAUUCAUCUGGGAGCUGCACCUCCUGCUCAGGAGGCCCUACUAUGGCUCUGUCUAGGAAAGAUCUGCCAGCCUUGCUGAAAAUGGAGCUUCUUCCCUGGACAGACACCACACAGUCCCCUGUUCUCCUGGGUGCCUGGCUGCCAUGACCAGUCAUGUCCUGGCAUGACCAAGGUCAUACCACAGAGAUCCUCUGCUCUCUCUUAUUUGUAUGUGUCUGAUUUGCCUCAUUAAAAAAGCAUUUCACAGGUUUGGAUUUUUUUCUAUUUACAGCUUUUGGCCUAUCCUAGUGUUUUAGUCAGGGUAAUCUAAUUGUAUGUGUGUGGGCGGAGUGGCCUUUUGAAGUAUGUACAUAUGUGCAUGUGUACCAUGCAAUACCUUCACAGUGGGAUUUGAGGGCCUUCAGUUGCAGAGAUCACAGAGGCUCUCUGUAGCUACUAAACAGCUCCCCUUCUUGGGGAGGGACACUUCUGAUGUGUGCUUUGAAGAGAACCAGCAAGGACACACUAGAUAUAUGUUCUGGGCUGGUCAUUCAGGGACUUCACAAUUCGUGACCUUUGCAAAUAGCAUUCCUGACUGUGUGCCAAUUUCACAGAUGCAGGAAGAUGACUAGGCUCAUAAGGACUGCUGUCUCUUAAGGCUCUGCUGUCCCCAGCACAGCUCUCUGUGUUUGGCACACAGCUGUCAACACACAUCCCACAAGGGGACUGAGGCACUCCAACUUGAGCAGCACUCCUGCUGUUUGCUCAGGAGAAAGGCAGCUCUGCACACGUCAUGGCCUCCCUGAAGGGUGUGAGCAGCAGCCGUGGCAGGUGACAAUCUGUGCCAGAUGUAGUCUUUCACACGGAGAACGCACUUGAGGGUGGGAGCAAGGAGCAUGCCAGGAGAGGGACGUGCUGUGGGAGCACAACAGAUCCUAGGAGACCUCUUAGCAAGGUGCAUUACAUAGAAUCAUGGAAUUGUUCAGGUUUGAAAAGAACUCUAAGUUCAUUGAAUCCAACUGAAACAUCUGUUGGUCCAUAUGGAUGCAGGCAAUUUGCUGCAGGUGGUUCUGCCCUGGACAGUGCAGGCCUAACCUCAUCUGUACCUCUCAGCCCGGGGACCAAAGCAGAUCCAUUACAUAUUCCUAACUCUUCCAGUAGGCCCAGACAUAGCAUUUAAUACAGCACGGGGAAAGCUUAUUAAGUGGUAACUUAGCAAUAAUCAGUAAAAUGUGGUUAGACUAAACAGAAGUUAUAUGACUAAAGCAUCAGAGAUUUGACACAGAUAUAAGUCAGAACUUUUCACUGCUUAGGAAAAACAUGGACUCCUGUAUGGCAUCACUAAUUGUUAACUAACUCACGCUGAGAAAAAAUGGCACUAAUUGAUCUGUUGAUAUGAAUAGAAAUUAUACAGAUACAGACAUUUUGCGUUAUUAAUAACUAAAGCACCCUGUCCAGAUUCCAGAUUGCUUUCUUCUGACAUUAAACAUAUAUAUAACACAAAGAUUCCCAUCUGCAGCUACCUGAACCCUACCUGGCUAUCAGAACAGAUUUUCUGCCCAACGAGUUUAAUUCCCUGAUAGUGUUCUGGCAAAUAAUCCUUCCUUUUGCAUUCAAGGACUUAUUUUUUCUUCUCUUACAUCUAUUUUUAUUUUCAUUUUAUAGGCAUCACUGCUAGCAUACUCCUCAUCCCAGUGCAGUAUAUGAAUUUGCCACAUCACUUCUGUGUGGCAUUAUUCUUUACUCUUUGCAUUACAUGACUGAAUUACCAGUGAAGAUUCUUUAUACCUGUUUCCAUUAAAACUUAGUCUCUCUGAGGUGAGUACCUUGAACUCUAAGCAUUUCUAAGCUUUGAUUUGAUAGCCAGUACUGGGGCUUGCAUCCUGUCAUUUGCCUCAAAGAAGCACCCAGCUAGAACUUUGUCUUCGAAAUGCCUCCAACACCUGCUUUGUAGCGGGCUGUCACUUCACCCAUUGUGUAUAGUAGCAUUCGCAUCACAAUAUCAUCCAAAUAUUAGAUCGCUUUUAGUCAUGGUAUGGGACAAACAAAGUGAUUUAUGCAGAGGGUUGCUGCUAAUUCCAGAAAUAACAAGGUCUGGCACAAGCUAAGUAUACCUGCUAAUCCAUCACUGUACCCAGACAGCUAAAUGCCUCUUCAGGACUAAUAUUUUCCUUCAACUAAUGAGAGUGACUACAACUGUGUACAUCUUAGGGCUCUAAUUUUCAUUUGCAGCGGGAAAAUGUCUACUCUUUCAAGCAAAUAAUUCCAUGAAGGAAGGUUGCUAGCAUAAGGAGAUUCUAAUUCUCUUCCUGGAGCAGUCAGAACUAACAUAGGGAAGUCAUCUUCAUUUCUCAUUACAAAGCACAAACUUUAAGUCUACUAUAUGGCAAGCAUGAAAUCAGAUUAGCUUACCCCUGUGUACUGAUAUAUUCUGAUUUGAGAAGUCUACCUUUCACAUGUGCAACCUGCAAAACACCUCUGUUUCGUAUGUGUUUCUUCAUAGUGAGGAAUUAAUACAAAAUGCCUAAGACAAUCUGCUUUUCUUAUUCCCACUUUGCUUUAUCUGCCUUCAUGAACUUUUAACAUCACCGCAUGGGUGAGACAAACAUGCAAGCAUCUGGUUUUAUGGGGAUGUGACCAGAAAAUAUGAGAGCACAGAUCUUUUUUUCAUAUUCACUCAGCACUUUUUUAAUCUCAGUCUGAGACAUUCUUUGUUUCCUCUGGAGUCAAGGCUAGCCCAGGGAACAGCAGCAGAGUUCUCUGACGUCAGGCUGAUCGUGUAAAGGGUGCUGUGAUGUUCCAGAAUUUGGUUAGCAAUUCCGCAGUGAAAUGUUUUUAGCUGUGCACUGACAUCUUUACCUGAACGAGAGGGAAAAGGACUCACUGCACUAGAAAAGUGACGGUCUUAGAAGACUCAGCACAGAGAUACCUUCCUUAUCCUAUAUAAUUACCUUGUGCGUUAAUCAUAGGAGGUAACAGAGCUGAUGCCAUGCCUAGAAAAGCAGCAGUAACUCCAGGGUUAUUUAGAACCCACAGAAGAGCUAUAUAUGCCUAAGUUUAGAGCUAUAUAUCAAUGGUUGCAGCUAUGUGAGGAGUGAUAUGCUCAGCAUUGUUGUGGGUGGCAUUUUCAUAUGGUAUGUAACACUGAAAAACCUCAGAGAGCCAAAUUUUUCCAACUGUAUCAUCUGGUUAAAUAAAAAGAUAUAACUUCUUUGUACAAGCCUUAUGUGUAAAAUUAAAGACUUGUUUACACUGGA